AAAGUGUAACUCCCCAUACCAGCAGUUACCGUGGAGACCUAUAUCAGUCCAUGACGGUGACACCUUGGAGGGCAAGAAAAAGCCACAGCUGAGGACACCUGGCUCACGAAUUCUCAAGAAUACAGCUGCAGGCUCUUGGCCUACUGCAAUAACUGCGAAACAGAGUCUGAAGAAAUGGUUCUCACACCCACAAAACUAGAGGAUGAAAUGUCUCUGCAGAUGAAGACUGUGGAGAAGGAACAGUAGCUGACCGAGAAGGGCAACAGCUUCCUCCAAAAUCUCCAUCUGAUUGAAGGUCCAAUGAGGUAAGUCAGGGCUGAGCAUGGGGACUGUCUGCUGACUUCCUCAGGCCA
This 353-nucleotide long non-coding RNA is filed under the name Chinchilla lanigera (long-tailed chinchilla). Its description in RNAcentral is "lncRNA (ENSCLAG00000029143.1)". The record is from RNAcentral. Lineage: Eukaryota; Metazoa; Chordata; Mammalia; Rodentia; Chinchillidae.